CCAGACUCCUACGGGAGGCAGCAGUGGGGGAUAUUGCACAAUGGGGGAAACCCUGAUGCAGCGACGCCGCGUGGGCGAAGAAGUAUUUCGGUAUGUAAAGCCCUAUCAGCAGGGAAGAAGAAAUGACGGUACCUGAGUAAGAAGCACCGGCUAAAUACGUGCCAGCAGCCGCGGUAAUACGUAUGGUGCAAGCGUUAUCCGGAUUUACUGGGUGUAAAGGGAGCGUAGACGGCAAUGCAAGCCAGAUGUGAAAGCCCGGGGCUCAACCCCGGGACUGCAUUUGGAACUGUGUAGCUGGAGUGUCGGAGAGGCAGGCGGAAUUCCUAGUGUAGCGGUGAAAUGCGUAGAUAUUAGGAGGAACACCAGUGGCGAAGGCGGCCUGCUGGACAGCAACUGACGCUGAGGCGCGAAAGCGUGGGGAGCAAACAGGAUUAGAUACCCUGGUAC
This 447-nucleotide ribosomal RNA is filed under the name uncultured bacterium. Its description in RNAcentral is "bacterial SSU rRNA". It matches the Rfam family "Bacterial small subunit ribosomal RNA", at positions 331 to 793 of the family's 1533-position model. The record is from RNAcentral.